GGUGGAAAAGCUGAGGUCACAUCAGAUUUGAAAUAUUUAAAGUGGAUACAAAACUAUUUCAGCAAUGCAGACAAUUAAGUGUGUUGUUGUGGGUGAUGUUGCUGUUGGUAAAACAUGUCUCCUGAUAUCCUACACAACAAACAAAUUUCCAUCGGAAUAUGUGCCAACUGUUUUUGACAAUUAUGCAGUGACAGUUAUGAUUGGUGGAGAACCAUAUACUCUUGGACUUUUUGAUACUGCAGGGCAAGAAGAUUAUGACAGAUUACGACCGCUGAGUUAUCCACAAACAGAUGUAUUUCUAGUCUGUUUUUCAGUGGUCUCUCCAUCUUCAUUUGAAAAUGUGAAAGAAAAGUGGGUACCUGAGAUAACUCACCACUGUCCAAAGACUCCUUUCUUGCUUGUUGGGACUCAAAUUGAUCUCAGAGAUGACCCCUCUACUAUUGAGAAACUUGCCAAGAACAAACAGAAGCCUGUCACUCCAGAGACUGCUGAAAAGCUGGCCCGUGACCUGAAGGCUGUCAAGUAUGUGGAGUGUUCUGCACUUACACAGAAAGGCCUAAAGAAUGUAUUUGACGAAGCAAUAUUGGCUGCCCUGGAGCCUCCAGAACCGAAGAAGAGCCGCAGGUGUAUGCUGCUAUGAACAUCUCUCCAGAGCCCUUUCUGCACAGCUGGUGUCGGCAUCAUACUAAAAGCAAUGUUUAAAUCAAACUAAAGAUUAAAAAUUAGAAUUCGUUCUUGCAAUAAUGACAAAUGCCCUGCACCUACCCACAUGCACACGUGUGAGACAAGGCCCAUAGGUAUGCCCCCCCUUCCCCUCCCAGUACUAGUUAAUUUUGAGUAGUUGUGUAUUGUCAGAAAAGUGAUUAGUACUAGUUUUUGUUUUGUUGUUUCCAAAAAAAAAGUGUUUUUUUUUUUUUUUUUUUUUUUUUGGUUUAAAAACAAGGCAUGCUUGUGGAUGAUUGUAACAGACUAAUUGGAAUUGUUGAAGCUGCUCCCUGGUUCCACUCUGGAGACAUCUGGGACAUAUUAGUGUUUUUUUUUGUUUUUUUUUUUCCUCCUCUUUUUUUUGGGGGGAGUGUGUGUGGGGUUUGUUUUUUAGUCUUGUUUUUUUAAUUCAUUAACCAGUGGAUAGCCCUUAAGGGGAGGAGGACGGUUUGAU
Rhinopithecus roxellana (golden snub-nosed monkey) is the source of this 1159-nucleotide RNA transcript. It is a transcript of the gene named cell division control protein 42 homolog pseudogene, with no coding region annotated. The transcript has a single exon. The record is from RefSeq and is a predicted model, not a curated record. Lineage: Eukaryota; Metazoa; Chordata; Mammalia; Primates; Cercopithecidae.